This 439-nucleotide ribosomal RNA is filed under the name uncultured bacterium. RNAcentral describes it as "partial 16S ribosomal RNA". It matches the Rfam family "Bacterial small subunit ribosomal RNA", at positions 338 to 795 of the family's 1533-position model. The record is from RNAcentral.
CCUACGGGGGGCAGCAGUGGGGGAUAUUGCACAAUGGAGGAAACUCUGAUGCAGCGAAGCCGCGUGAGGGAAGAAGGGCUUAGGAGUGGAAACCUCUGUCUAUGGGGAAGAAAAUGACGGUACCCAAAGAGGAAGCUCCGGCUAACUACGUGCCAGCAGCCGCGGUAAUACGUGGGGAGCGAGCGUUGUCCGGAAUUACUGGGUGUAAAGGGAGCGUAGGCGGGGGAGAAAGUUGAAUGUUAAAUUUUCCGGCUUAACUGGUAGCUGCGUUCAAAACUUCUUGUCUUGAGUGAAGUAGAGGCAGGCGGAAUUCCUAGUGUAGCUGUGAAAUGCGUAGAUAUUACGCGGAACACCAGUGGCGAAGGCAGCCUACUGGGCUUUAACUGACGCUGAGGCUCGAAAGCGUGGGUAGCAAACAGGAUUAGAUACCCGAGUAGUC